Molecule: long non-coding RNA, 2704 nt
Filed under: Mytilus galloprovincialis (Mediterranean mussel)
Lineage: Eukaryota; Metazoa; Mollusca; Bivalvia; Mytilida; Mytilidae
Source: RNAcentral
AUUAUCUACCUUUACUCAUUGUUUACUGAUUUGACAGGUUUGUUUAAUGUCUGAUAUAACACUGUUUAAAACACUUAAAAUGACACUAAUGAUAUGUAAUUGAUCUGUGUUGUGCAUAUUUAAUCAAAUGAAAAGAGUUGAAAUACAAAAUAUAUUUGGAAUCAUUGUGAAUUAUUGACUUUUUCAUUCUACUUUCGUUUUCCGUCCACUUUUACCUGAUUUAAAUGAAAUAGUGAAUAGUUUUAUUAUUAGUAUUUUUCCAAAAUACUCUUUUUUCCGGUUUCUAUAAAUUUAAAUUAUUUCGCGUUUUUCUGUAUUAUAUUGUAUUAUCUGAUAUUGACGAAUCUCGUUAAAUAUUUCCCAAAACUUACGGUAAUGAUAUGACUAUGUCCGUCAGUUAAGGUAUCAAAGUUUCAUUUCGUCGUUCAGAUCCACGUUUUGACAUAAACAUUUGUUUUUUGUUUGAAACAUUUUAUGUCCAAUGAAAUGUUGAUCUUUCCCUUGAACCGAAGUCUGAUAUGAAGAAAAUCAAUUGGGAAAUAAAAAAGCUAUUGAAAUUUAAAUAAAUUCGAAUCAUCUAUCUUCAGGUCUAUUUUUAGUUCACGUUUAGGUCUAUUGUGUCACCUGAUUUUGUGGAUCGAACCAGUAAAUCGACAUUCUUUUCCUGCUCAUAAUUGAACACGCCUAAUUCAUGUGUAACCUAUCUCUAGCUAAGUGGUUAAAUUUUGUCAAAUGAAUACGAAGGUUGAGGUUUUGGGAAAAUGUUACUUUUUUAUGAUUAACUAUUCACUGCGAGAUACUUUUUGUAAUCUUAUAUGUGAACUUUCAAGUCAUAUCAGUGUAACGGUAAAGGAAUUUUUUGUCUCUUCUGUUUUGUAGCAUGUCGGGUAAACUGACUGUAUGUGGAGUAUGUGCAUACCGCAAAAUCAACAACUCCUCGGUGGUCUGGUGUUCAGAAUGCGACGAAGGACUUUGUGAGGAGUGUAAAGAGCAUCACACAGCUUCAAAAGGGACCAGAGAACAUAGUACUGUUCCAAUCUCCGAGUACCAGAAGCUUCCUCUCAAUAUAUUUGAAAUAACUCAAUCUUGUCAAAAGCACAAUGAAAAAUACGUUAUAUUUUGUAAGAAACACGAUUGUCCAUGCUGUAGACGAUGUGUUGUUGAAACGCAUGAUGAUUGCAAAGAGCUAAACGCUAUUGAUGACGUAAUAAAAAAUGUGAAAUCAUCAAAUGCAUUCUUGGAAAUGGAACAUAUGUUAGCAGAACUUUCAGAAAAUUUACAGAGGAUAAAAAAAGAUCGGCAAGAUAACAUUAAAAUUCUUCAGGAGAACAGGAUCAACAUAGAAAAAGAGAUUGUACAAGCACGAGUAUUGAUCAACAAUCAUCUGGAUAAACUACAGGAAAGUCUGAUGAAAGAGUUGUAUGUUGCUGAGGAAAAGGAAAACAAGAAAAUCAGCUGUUUAAUAUCAUCCAUACAAGAGAAAGAAAGGGAGAAUACAGAAUGCCAGACCAAUUUAGAUAAAAUAAAACAAUAUGCCUCAGAUCUCCAGACGUUCUUGGCUAUGAAACACAUCCAACAAGAUGUAACAAAAAACGAAAAAUUCCUAGAAGCUUUAUUGAAAGAAGAUAAAUUGAAUCAUGUUACCCUUUCUUUUGAAAAAGAAAAUACUUUCGACACUCUACCUUCAGCUAUACACAAGAUGGGAACAAUUAUUUUGGAUACCAGGCCAAAUGAUACUAUAUAUGCAAGCAGAAAGAACAAACAAGCACAGAUAAUGCUGCCCAUUGCACAUGUUCCUACCAUUGAUGAUCUUAAAAUAACUUUAAGACAGACCAUGAAACCAAUAGGAAGAGAUAUUACUAGUUGUAUCUUACUACCAGAUGGCAGAACGAUUUUUACCUGCUUCACUAAUGGCCAAAUAAAUGUGGUAAACACCGACGGGUCGUUAGAUUUUACAUUACAUGCAGCUUCGAACGCAUCUCAUAUAUACUUUAUAGCAGAACGCCAAACAAUUGUGGUAACAUCUGGUAAUUUUAAAAACCCUUGCAUUAAAAUUUUCGAUAUGAAAACCAGAAAAGCUGAGAAAUCCAUUAUUGUCGGGACAGAGAUUUAUGGAAUAGCUCAUAAUGACGAAUCAUUUUUCUUUAAUGGAUAUACACGUGGAUUAUGUGUUGUAAGUUUAGAUGCUGACUCUAUUACACAGUUAGUUAAUGGUACCCUGUCUAAAUAUAGCAGUAUUGCAAUAUGGUCAGAUCAACUUUAUUAUAUAAAUACUGAUGAUUCAGUAACAUGUUGUGAUCUUCAAGGGACAUUGAAAUGGAAAUUAGAACUUGCAACAUUUCUUAAAACAGCACGAGGUAUCACAGUGGACAAUUACGGGCGUGUUUAUGUAUCGGGCUUUUAUUCUCAUAAUGUAGUUUUAAUAUCACCAGAAGGAAAGACACACCGAUUGUUGCUGUCAGAGAAAGAUGGUCUUAUUCUACCACAAGCUUUAUUCUUUGAUCGCACAAAUAACAUUUUACUAAUUUCGAACCAAAAAAAUGUGGCAUUUCUUUAUGAUGUUUCAAAAUGAAUUAAUACAAUAUCCAUAAAUUGAGCAUUCUGUAAUAAUCAUGUUUUUAAUUAAAAAAAUAAUGCGCCUUUCAAAAUGAAACAACUACAAAUGCUUUUGAAGUCAAAAUGUGUUACAUUCUUAAACUUUACC